GAAGUCAUAGUCCAUUGCUACGAAUUUAAUAUUACCCGGACAGUUGGACUAUUAUUACUCUUGAGCUGGAUACCUGGAUGUAUACUUUAAAAGGUUGCAAUAAAGAGUUAUUUUUGGAUUUAUUCUUGGGUUUACCCUAGUGUGAACCUCUAAAUUCAUCAACCAGUAGAAUUAUGUUAUUUCAUAUUCGAUAUAUUAUAAAAAAAAUAUAUUGUCAAAUUCUAUUUUCUUUUUGAAAUUAAAAAGUAAACAAAAUAAAUAAAAAAUAGUAGUAAUUACAAAAAAAAAAUUAAUGUCAUCAGCAAAACAUUAAACCCUAAAUCCUAAUCCCUAAACUCUAAAUCCUAAAACUUAAACCCUUGGGUAAACCCUAAACUCUAGGAUAAAUCUUAAACUCUAAAUCAAAAUCACUAAACACUAAAACACUCAAGGGUUUCAGGUUUAGGGUUUAGGAUUUAGGGUUUAGAGCUUUAGGGUUUAGUUUUUUUCUUUUGAGUUUAGGAUUUAUCCAAGGGUUUAAGAUUUACCCAAGGAUCUAGAGUUUACCUAAGGGUUUAGGGUUUACCCAAGGGUUUAAGGUUUAGGAUUUAGGGUUUAAGGAUUAGGAUUUAGGGUUUAGUGUUUUGCUGACGACUUUAAAAAGAUUUUUUUUUUUAAUUCUUUUUUCUGUAGCUACUAUUUUUUUUUACUUUUUAUUUAUUUUAAAAACAUAAUAUAAUUUGACAAUAUUUUGUUUCUUUUUUUUAAAAGAUAUCGAAUUUGAAAUAAUGAAAUCCUAUUGGUUGGUGAACCUAUUUAAUUCAAAAACAUUGGAUUUUAAAAUGUAAUAAACUCAAUUUAUAUUUAAUUUAAAAACAUUGGAUUUUAAAAUGUAAUAAACUCAAUUUAUAUUUUAAGACAAAAACUGAGUCAAUAUUUACUUAGGUGUAUAAAUUUCAAUAAUUAUUAUAAACCUAAUUUUUAUUAUUAUAAACCUAAUUAGUUAUUUAAAAAUAAAAAAAAUAAAAG
RNAcentral lists this long non-coding RNA (1008 nucleotides) under Brassica rapa (field mustard). RNAcentral describes it as "long non-coding RNA (BRAP_LNC001354)". Lineage: Eukaryota; Viridiplantae; Streptophyta; Magnoliopsida; Brassicales; Brassicaceae. The record is from RNAcentral.